AUACGGAGGAUCCGAGCGUUAUCCGGAUUUAUUGGGUUUAAAGGGAGCGUAGGUGGAUUGUUAAGUCAGUUGUGAAAGUUUGCGGCUCAACCGUAAAAUUGCAGUUGAAACUGGCAGUCUUGAGUACAGUAGAGGUGGGCGGAAUUCGUGGUGUAGCGGUGAAAUGCUUAGAUGUCACGAAGAACUCCGAUUGCGAAGGCAGCUCACUAGACUGCAACUGACACUGAUGCUCGAAAGUGUGGGUAUCAAACAGGAUUAGAUACCCUGGUAGUCCACACAGUAAACGAUGAAUACUCGCUGUUUGCGAUAUACAGUAAGCGGCCAAGCGAAAGCAUUAAGUAUUCCACCUGGGGAGUACGCCGGCAACGGUGAAACUCAAAUGAAUUGGCGGG
Molecule: ribosomal RNA, 392 nt
Filed under: uncultured bacterium
Lineage: Bacteria
Description: partial 16S ribosomal RNA
Rfam family: Bacterial small subunit ribosomal RNA
Source: RNAcentral